Long non-coding RNA from Lolium perenne, 1431 nucleotides. RefSeq lists it as uncharacterized. Lineage: Eukaryota; Viridiplantae; Streptophyta; Magnoliopsida; Poales; Poaceae. The record is from RefSeq and is a predicted model, not a curated record.
UUUUAUAUUAAACCAUCCCUUUAUCUUUUCUUUUCCACAAACCUUAACACCAAAACUAUCUAACAAAUAAACUUAUUUUUAAAUGUCUCAAAGUUUAAAAUAAAAGUUGUUGCUGCUUUGGUUUGAUUUCAAAUAGUUUUCAAAAUCUGGUUGGAAAACAAAAAGAGAAAAAGGUGAAACCUAGUCUACCCAGGCCUUCCUCUUUUCUUUCUCAUUCUGGCCUUUCUUUUCUCAUCCGGAGCAGCCCAGCCGCAGUAGCCGAUCUCCUCAAUCUGGCCCAUCCUACCCAUCGAAGGGGUAAGCUCCUUUUCUGGAUUGUCGUCUUCUCUCCGUGAGCACGCAGGAGUCGUGACCACUCCCAUGGCCGACGUCACUGCGCACCACCGCGCCUCCAUCUCCUUUUCCCCAUCCCUUAAAUCCCUCUCCAGCCCUCAUGAAACCCUAGCCCCUCUCCCCUCCUGCCGCCGCCACUUCCUCUGUCUCCCCUCCACCUUCUUCUUCUUCACGCAACGAAGAAAACGAACAAGGAACCAUGGCCGGCCUUACAGUGAGCUCGACCGUGCCGUCGCCAUGGGCGCUCCCUCGGCGAGCCGAGACUACCGGAAGAUGCGCCUCGCCGCCCUCGUCAUCCUCGCCAAAGGAAUCGAGUUGGUUCCGCUCCAAUCGACGCCAAGGUCGCCGUUUCUCCGCCACGGCCACCGCGCUCCGGCGAACAUUCCGGCCGCCACCGAGCUCCCCCGACCUUGCUGAGUCCUCCAACACGUUCCUGGACCUCGUCGGCGGCGCUACUCCGGCGACCCCCAGGACUCCGCACCGCCACCAACAGGUUCAUCUCGUCGAGGCGCACGUUCGACGACAUCUCCUUCGUCCCGGUUCGUCGUGAAACGUCAGGGCCGAGCUCGCCGUCCUUUUCCGCCAUGGCUGUUUAUGUCCCAGAGCUCCGCGUCACUUUGACUCAAAACGUUGCGUGCUUCCAUCUAAUCAACAUCAGACACAGCAGCCCAGUGAUCUUGUGUUAGGAACGUUUCAGUUUGUGCCUUAAAUCCCAAUCGUUUUGUUCUCCAGCUACACUGACCGGCCACGGCCAUCUCUCCCAGGCGCAGCACAGUUCCGAAGCAAGGUCCGGCCCGGUUCUAAUACACCUCUGUGCUAACCUUUCUUUUUGCAAAAUCUUGAUUAUAUCAUAUCUUGUGAUUGGUAAAUCCAAAUAAUACAAAUAAAAUAUCUAUUUUUAUCAGAAAAAUGUGAGGAAUCUGAAUAUGCCAUCCAUAUAAUUGUUUGCAUCUCGCAUCAUGUGGUUCCGUUAUAGUUUGCAUCGCACCUAAUAAUUAAACGCGGAGUAUUUGGGAAUUACCGACUACGGUUCCUCGCUCCGUUUAAAUUUGAAGUAGCGCACCCCUGCCAUGUCUUGCCAUGCUAACCAACAUUUAA